This 898-nucleotide ribosomal RNA is filed under the name uncultured Methanosaeta sp. RNAcentral describes it as "bacterial SSU rRNA". It matches the Rfam family "Archaeal small subunit ribosomal RNA", at positions 18 to 908 of the family's 1478-position model. Lineage: Archaea; Methanobacteriati; Methanobacteriota; Methanomicrobia; Methanotrichales; Methanotrichaceae. The record is from RNAcentral.
CAGAGGUUAUCUGSUAUUYAAGGRUUCCGACGGAUGAAGCCAUGCGAGUUGAAUGUUCUUCGUGAACAUGGCGGACUGCUCAGUAACACGUGGACAACCUACCCUUGGGUCCGGCAUAAUCCUGGGAAACUGGGAAUAAUUCCGGAUAGGUCACCGAUGCUGGAAUGCGCGGUGGCCGAAAGCUCCGGCGCCCGAGGAUGGGUCUGCGGCCUAUCAGGGUUGUAGUGGGUGUAACGUACCUACUAGCCUACGACGGGUACGGGUUGUGAGAGCAAGAGCCCGGAGAUGGAUUCUGAGACACGAAUCCAGGCCCUACGGGGUGCAGCAGGCGCGAAAACUUUACAAUGCGGGAAACCGUGAUAAGGGGAUCUCGAGUGCCAGCAUAUAAUGUUGGCUGUCCAGAUGCCUAAAAAGCAUCUGUUAGCAAGGGCCGGGCAAGACCGGUGCCAGCCGCCGCGGUAACACCGGCGGCCCGAGUGGUAACCGCUAUUAUUGGGUCUAAAGGGUCUGUAGCCGGCCAGGUAAGUCCCUUGGGAAAUCUGGCAGCUCAACUGUCAGGCUGCUAGGGGAUACUGUUUGGCUUGGGACCGGGAGAGGUGAGAGGUACCUUGGGGGUAGGGGUGAAAUCUUGUGAUCCUCGAGGGACCACCAGUGGCGAAGGCGUCUCACCAGAACGGGUCCGACGGUAAGGGACGAAAGCUAGGGGCACGAACCGGAUUAGAUACCCGGGUAGUCCUAGCCGUAAACGAUGCUCGCUAGGUGUCAGUCACGGUGCGACCGUGAUUGGUGCCGUAGGGAAGCCGUGAAGCGAGCCACCUGGGAAGUAUGGCCGCAAGGCUGAAACUUAAAGGAAUUGGCGGGGGAGCACAYAYAWCSGGUGGAGCCUGCGGUUUAAUUG